UAGCUCCGGGUAUUCAGCCAAGAUAGC
RNAcentral lists this non-coding RNA (27 nucleotides) under Bombyx mori (domestic silkworm). Lineage: Eukaryota; Metazoa; Arthropoda; Insecta; Lepidoptera; Bombycidae. The record is from RNAcentral.